CUUUCUUCUUUUCUCUUUUCUUUUCUUCUCCUGUUCUUCUUUCUCCGGCGAGUUUGAGAAUCAAAUAGAGAUUUUGCAGUUUUUUGUAUGAGGCGAAAGGUCAAGGUAGGGUUGGUGAUGGUGAAGCUCGUUGAGAAAGAAGAAAGGAAUUAGAGAAAGUGAAGUGAGGGUUUUGUAUGAUGAAGACUUGGAAGAUGAAAUUAGAGUCACGGGUGAAUGUUUAGAGAUGGGUCUGACGUGAAAUAGGGGAUACGAUUGAAAAAUCACUAGAAUCAAAGAGUUAGGGUUUGUAAGUAGAACUCAGAGAUUAGCUAGAGGAUGAAUUUGAGGUUCUAAGAGAUUGAUUAGAGAUGGGGUUUUGAUUGAUUUGAAGAUUUGAGUGGAUGUAUCGAGUUUGAAUCAGAGAAGCGAAGAUUAGAAAUUGAAUUAGGGUUUUGUUGAGAGUUGAAGAUGGCAAUAAAGAUUAGGAGUCUGAAAUCGAGAAAAGAGAAGUAGAAUUAAGAAUCAGUUGAUGGUGAUGAUGGAUACUUAGGGUUUUCAUUUGAAAUUGAGAAUAGAAGACUAAUAUCAGAGACUAAUUGAUGAUUGUGGUGUUGCUUCAAAGACUGUUUCAAACUCAGGGGAGAUGGAAAUUAGGGUUUCAGCAUCAGUGGGUGGUGGAACAACAAUUCAGGGAAGACUAUUAUUGGGUAAGCCUCUUUGUAGCUUAAUUUCACUGUUUGAAGUUGAAUUGUUUAGUUUGUAUGUGAUUGAGUAGUUUCAGUUGGUUGAAUGGUUUAUGAAUUAAAGACAGGAAGGUGAUUUUGGUUGUGCAGGUGAACUUUAAUGGUUGUAGUAGGGGUUUGGAUUUAGUAAUGCUACAAACUGUUGGAGUUUGGAUAUAAAUUUGGGUUGUGAAUGAGUUAUAAGUAUGAACUGAGUUUGUGUUGUGCAGAGUUGUGUGAAUUGAGUUCUGGAUGGAUGUUAGGUUAUUACUUGAGAAGAUGUUAUGAUUGUCUAGAUAUAGAAAUGAUUGCAGGUACAAGAGAAUGUGUUUGAAGUUGGAGUGGUAUAUAAGGAUGGUGUAGUUGUGGUAUUUUGAAUGUUGCAGUAGUAGUUGGCAUAUGAGAUGCAUAUAAGAAGAUGGACUGAGUUGUUUUGGUUGAAUUAGAUUGAGAUAGAGAUAUGUAGUUGUGAAGGAGAUUUGUCAUUGUUGGAUGAUAGAGCUCAACUUGGUGGUGCUGUGAGAUGCAGGGAGAAGGCUUGAGAUGGGUGUUUUGGCAUGAAAAUGUGUUGAUGUUGUCAGAGUUGAUAUGGGUUUGGUUGCAGAGGUUUGUAUUAGAAUGUAGUGAAACUGAAUGAAUAAAAGUUAGAUGGUUGAUUAUAGAGUUGUAGAUAGUGUUGGAUGUGAGAAGCUUGGAACUGCUUAUUGCAGUUAUUAACAACGAUCGAUUCAAAGGAUGAACCAGUGGAUCAUGGAUCUCGAGGUAGGCGAGGCUUGUCAUCAAAAGAGUUUCAGAGACAGAUCAAGAUGUGCAUGUGACGAUGAAAGCUUCGAAGAAUUAGUUAUUUUAAUUAGUUAGAUUAUGCUAUGUUAUUUUGUGUUUGUAUUCUAUUUUUAAAUCAACUCAUUAUUGAAUAUGUAUCAUUUGAGAGAAGUUCUUGUAUAUAUAUUUCAG
This is a long non-coding RNA of Papaver somniferum (opium poppy), 1658 nucleotides long. RefSeq lists it as uncharacterized. NCBI's taxonomy places the organism in Eukaryota, Viridiplantae, Streptophyta, Magnoliopsida, Ranunculales, Papaveraceae. The transcript has 3 exons. The record is from RefSeq and is a predicted model, not a curated record.